UCCAGACUCCUACGGGAGGCAGCAGUGGGGGAUAUUGCACAAUGGGGGAAACCCUGAUGCAGCGACGCCGCGUGAGUGAAGAAGUAUUUCGGUAUGUAAAGCUCUAUCAGCAGGGAAGAAAAAAGACGGUACCUGACUAAGAAGCCCCGGCUAACUACGUGCCAGCAGCCGCGGUAAUACGUAGGGGGCAAGCGUUAUCCGGAUUUACUGGGUGUAAAGGGAGCGUAGACGGCAAUACAAGUCGGAAGUGAAAUACCCGGGCUUAACCUGGGAACUGCUUUGGAAACUGUAUGGCUGGAGUGCUGGAGAGGUAAGCGGAAUUCCUAGUGUAGCGGUGAAAUGCGUAGAUAUUAGGAGGAGCACCAGUGGCGAAGGCGGCUUACUGGACAGUAACUGACGUUGAGGCUCGAAAGCGUGGGGAGCAAACAGGAUUAGAUCCCCUAGUA
This 446-nucleotide ribosomal RNA is filed under the name uncultured bacterium. RNAcentral describes it as "bacterial SSU rRNA". It matches the Rfam family "Bacterial small subunit ribosomal RNA", at positions 330 to 792 of the family's 1533-position model. The record is from RNAcentral.